GGGCGUAUGGUGUAGUUGGAUAUCAUGUCGGAUUUCUAAUCCGACGACACGGGUUCGAAUCCUGUUAUGCCCA
Molecule: transfer RNA, 73 nt
Filed under: Methanobacteriota archaeon
Lineage: Archaea; Methanobacteriati; Methanobacteriota
Also listed under: 1 other name
Description: Euryarchaeota archaeon (marine metagenome) tRNA-Arg
Rfam family: tRNA
About the family: Transfer RNA (tRNA) molecules are approximately 80 nucleotides in length. Their secondary structure includes four short double-helical elements and three loops (D, anti-codon, and T loops).
Source: RNAcentral